AGAGUUUGAUCAUGGCUCAGAACGAACGCUGGCGGCAGGCCUAACACAUGCAAGUCGAGCGCCCCGCAAGGGGAGCGGCAGACGGGUGAGUAACGCGUGGGAAUCUACCCAUCCCUACGGAACAACUCCGGGAAACUGGAGCUAAUACCGUAUACGCCCUUCGGGGGAAAGAUUUAUCGGGGAUGGAUGAGCCCGCGUUGGAUUAGCUAGUUGGUGGGGUAAUGGCCUACCAAGGCGACGAUCCAUAGCUGGUCUGAGAGGAUGAUCAGCCACACUGGGACUGAGACACGGCCCAGACUCCUACGGGAGGCAGCAGUGGGGAAUAUUGGACAAUGGGCGAAAGCCUGAUCCAGCCAUGCCGCGUGAGUGAUGAAGGCCCUAGGGUUGUAAAGCUCUUUCAACGGUGAAGAUAAUGACGGUAACCGUAGAAGAAGCCCCGGCUAACUUCGUG
Molecule: ribosomal RNA, 451 nt
Filed under: uncultured bacterium
Lineage: Bacteria
Description: bacterial SSU rRNA
Rfam family: Bacterial small subunit ribosomal RNA
Source: RNAcentral